GAGAAAUAUGAUUAGUCCUCGUUCCUUCGAGGGACGAUACAAAGAAGAUUAGCAUGAUCCUUGUUCAAGGAUGACACAAACAAAUCAGAGAAAAGUGUGAUUAGU
RNAcentral lists this small nuclear RNA (105 nucleotides) under Solanum lycopersicum (tomato). Lineage: Eukaryota; Viridiplantae; Streptophyta; Magnoliopsida; Solanales; Solanaceae. The record is from RNAcentral.